This 1155-nucleotide long non-coding RNA is filed under the name Ananas comosus (pineapple). Its description in RNAcentral is "long non-coding RNA (ACOM_LNC030367)". Lineage: Eukaryota; Viridiplantae; Streptophyta; Magnoliopsida; Poales; Bromeliaceae. The record is from RNAcentral.
AGAGAAAAAAAAAAAGAACGAGAGAAAAAAAAAGAGGAGAGAGAAAAAGGUACAAGGAUAUUUUGGUCAGUUUGCUAAAAAAUCGGACCGAAUCUGCAAAAACGAAAAAGAUGGCCCACUUUUGCAAAAGCCCAAAACUAGUGGAUUUUUUAUGCAAAUUGGCCAUUAUUAUUUUAGUCAGCUUUAAAAAGUAGUGUAGUUUAACUAUAAAAAAAUAAUUUUUUUUUGAAGGCUUACAAAUCUUAUGCGUUUGGUUCGGAUACAAGUAAAAACUGCUUAUUUCAGAGAUAGAUACAAGUUCAAGUAUAAGUAGGAACGAGACAAAUUUUAUAUUUGGAUGAAAAUUGGGUAGUUUCUAAGAAUAAGAUAAAUAGUGUUUGAAUGGUUAGAUGGGAAGAAAGGGAAUAAGAGUUAUAAUUUUAAAUUAAAAUUAUUUUAUCUAAUUAAUUAAUAUUAAAAUAUUACUUAAAAAUAAUUUAAUAAAUUAAUAAAUUUAUUAGCUACGAAUAUUAUAUAAGAUAAUAAAAACAUAUUAAUUAAUUAAUUAAAUAUAAAAAAUAAUUUAACUUUUUAAUUAGUUAGUAAAUUAUUUUACCUAGAUAACCAGUAACAAAAAAAUUAAUUAGAUUAAUAGAAAUAUUAUUAGUUUAUGGAUAAAUACUUUAACUUAUUAAUAAUUAAUUAUAAAUAAUAAAUAAAUAAAUUAUUUUAUUAUUUAAGUAAUAAAUAAUAGUUUGAAUAUAUUAAUUAGGUUAAUUAAUGAUUUAAUACUAUAAUUAAAGUUAAAUUUAAACUUUAAUUAACCUUGUUCCUAUCUCGGAACAAACUUGUUCCAAGAAAAAAAAUGAAAAAUGAUGAAACAAUAGUUCUAGCCUUAUACCAACGUAUUUUAAAAAUUUAAAAAUUUCUGUUCUCGAGUACUAAAUACAGUGUUUGAAAAUAAAAGGUGGAAUAAGGAGGGCUUUUUUAUAAAAUGAUCUUCUACAAACUCGAAAUUGGCAAAAUGAUCUUGUCAAAAUUUUAUUUGUUAAAUUAGUCCUCCUUUCGCCACAUGGGGGCCACGUUAGGGAUUUUUUACAAAGACGGUGAAUUGUUCACCGUCUUUAUAAAAUUUAUUGUGAAGAUGGUGAACUAUUAGUAUAAAUUUUUAUUCUG